UCCUCUGUUUUUUCUGCAGCUCAGUAAACGCUCUGCCACUGACCUGUGUGGCCGGAAUGAUGGAAACCUUAAGGUGAUAUUCCCUGAUGUAGAGAUGGAGGAUGUCACUAAUUCUGGGCUCAGAGUCAGAGCUCAGCCUGGGGACUACGUGCUGGUGAAGAUCACCUCUGCCAGCUCUCAGACACUUAAAGGACAUGUUCUCUGCAGGACCACUCUGAAGGACUCUUCAGCAUAUUGCUGACCCGAGCGAUGACCUCAGAGCUGACGUGGGCAGUCCUUCCCAACAGGAAGGACUGGUCACUAAUGAAAGAGGUAAUGAAGCUUUGAAGACAAACCACAAGUGGUGAAGCAACUUUAUGUCAAAUGGAAAAUGCAUCUCUUUGCUGCUACAUGAACAGGCUUUAUAAUCAUUAAAUUUAUCUAAACUGAA
Molecule: long non-coding RNA, 430 nt
Organism: Hipposideros armiger (great roundleaf bat)
Lineage: Eukaryota; Metazoa; Chordata; Mammalia; Chiroptera; Hipposideridae
Exons: 2
Source: RefSeq, a predicted model, not a curated record